ACACACGACAAUAUAUGUACUAAAGGCACCAGAAACCACCUGAUCUUGAGAGCUAAGCAGGAGCAGCCCUGAUUAGUACUUGGAUGGGAGACUACCAGUGAAUAUCAGGAGCUGUAGGUC
This 120-nucleotide ribosomal RNA is filed under the name Anolis carolinensis (green anole). Lineage: Eukaryota; Metazoa; Chordata; Lepidosauria; Squamata; Anolidae. The record is from RNAcentral.